GACGAACGCUGGCGGCGUGCUUAACACAUGCAAGUCGAACGGAAAGGCCCUGCUUUUGUGGGGUGCUCGAGUGGCGAACGGGUGAGUAACACGUGAGUAACCUGCCCUUGACUUUGGGAUAACUUCAGGAAACUGGGGCUAAUACCGGAUAGGAGCUCCUGCUGCAUGGUGGGGGUUGGAAAGUUUCGGCGGUUGGGGAUGGACUCGCGGCUUAUCAGCUUGUUGGUGGGGUAGUGGCUUACCAAGGCUUUGACGGGUAGCCGGCCUGAGACGGUGACCGGCCACAUUGGGACUGAGAUACGGCCCAGACUCCUACGGGAGGCAGCAGUGGGGAAUAUUGCACAAUGGGCGGAAGCCUGAUGCAGCAACGCCGUGUGCGGGAUGACGGCCUUCGGGUUGUAAACCGCUUUCGCCUGUGACGAAGCGUGAGUGACGGUAAUGGGUAAAGAAGCACCGGCUAACUACGUG
This 468-nucleotide ribosomal RNA is filed under the name uncultured bacterium. RNAcentral describes it as "partial 16S ribosomal RNA". It matches the Rfam family "Bacterial small subunit ribosomal RNA", at positions 28 to 507 of the family's 1533-position model. The record is from RNAcentral.